CCUGCCCUUGAGACGGGGAUAAACCCGGGAAACUGGGUAUAAUACCCGAUAGAUCUCGACUGCUGGAAUGCAUCGAGCUCGAAAGCUCCGGCGCUCAAGGAUGGGUCUGCGGCCUAUCAGGUAGUAGUGGGUGUAGCGUACCUACUAGCCUACGACGGGUACGGGUUGUGAGAGCAAGAGCCCGGAGAUGGAUUCUGAGACACGAAUCCAGGCCCUACGGGGUGCAGCAGGCGCGAAAACUUUACAAUGCUGGAAACAGCGAUAAGGGGACCUCGAGUGCCAGGUUACAAAUCUGGCUGUCGUGAUGCCUAAAAAGCAUUGCAUAGCAAGGGCCGGGCAGGACCGGUGCCAGCCGCCGCGGUAACACCGGCGGCUCGAGUGGUAACCGUUAUUAUUGGGUCUAAGGGGUCUGUAGCCGGCCGGAUAAGUCUCUUGGGAAAUCUGGCAGCUUAACUGUCAGGCUUUCAGGAGAUACUGUCUGGCUCGAGGCCGGGAGAGGUGAGAGGUACUUCAGGGGUAGGGGUGAAAUCUUGUAAUCCUUGAAGGACCACCAGUGGCGAAGGCGUCUCACCAGAACGGACCUGACGGCAAGGGACGAAAGCUAGGGGCACGAACCGGAUUAGAUACCCGGGUAGUCCUAGCCGUAAACGAUACUCGCUAGGUGUCGGCAACGGUGCGACCGUUGUCGGUGCCGUAGGGAAGCCGUGAAGCGAGCCACCUGGGAAGUACGGCCGCAAGGCUGAAACUUAA
RNAcentral lists this ribosomal RNA (750 nucleotides) under uncultured archaeon. Its description in RNAcentral is "bacterial SSU rRNA". It matches the Rfam family "Archaeal small subunit ribosomal RNA", at positions 108 to 859 of the family's 1478-position model. The record is from RNAcentral.